This is a long non-coding RNA of Bombus pyrosoma, 1508 nucleotides long. RefSeq lists it as uncharacterized. The transcript has 2 exons. NCBI's taxonomy places the organism in Eukaryota, Metazoa, Arthropoda, Insecta, Hymenoptera, Apidae. The record is from RefSeq and is a predicted model, not a curated record.
UUAACAUUACAUGAAAAUAGAUAAUAAUAUUUUAUUAAUGUAUAAAAAUAUAUAGUAUCUACGUAGACGAACUAUUUUUAGUAAAAAUAAAGUAAAAAUAAAUUAACAAUAUAUAUACAAAUGGUAUCCCACCUAGCCCUGUAACCCUUAAUUACUCUUUUUUACUCGUAUUGGCCACGAUACGAAAAAUAUUAUUAUUCAGACCUAAUUUCCCCCUUGACAUACGAUAACUUUCUCCCGAAAUACUAUUCUGCAUCGGGACAAACGAGAGAAUAAUUAAAGAUGGCACAGUUUGAUGGAACAUCCUGCAUAUAAAAGACAAAGGAAAGACUAUGCGAUAUUCAACGAAUUUAAAGCGGCAUUCAGUAGAUAAACACCUUUUACUACAUAAGCUGAUGAGAAUAAGGGCAAAUGGAGAAAUAUUCUUUAUGAUCAAGUAGAUAUACAGGAAAAUGACAAACAGAGGAUUGCCAGUUGCGGGCCUAGCAGAUGGUCUUGAGUCAUGCAUAGAAAACAGGCAGGAAUGCUCCAUUCGUCCUCUAUUAUCUUCGUUGUUCGUAGAAGAUUUGAAAGUAGAUUAGUCUGUUGGUCGAGGAAUAGCAUCGAGGGAGGGGCGGUAUUUGUAGGGCAGACGAUGAUUGCGUUGAAGUUUGCGAACGAUGUGGUAACGGUGGUGAUUCGCAACAAGGAAGUCACAAUCUCAGGCAGUUGCUCGGAUCGCUGUGAAGAUACGUAAUGAAAAACUAUCUCGAAGUGAACGCAAAGAAGACGAAAGUGAUGUUGUUCAAGAGAGGAAGGAGGGCUAGAGAAAAGAGAUGGGAGAGAAUAAUGGGCAAAGAAUUAGAAUUAACGGGCCACUAGAAGUAUCUAGGCGUUUGAUUCUUGACAGGCAAUUACUUCAGACGGAAUGUAAGAGCAUAGGCAGGUAAAGAGCAGAAAGCUGUCAACGCUAUUUCGGAUAUGUGGAAACGGGCAAAAAUUAGCUCAUGGGAAAAAAUACACUUUUUGGAUAUGUUGGCAAAUAAUGGACUACACUGAGAGAGAGCACAGUAUGUACGUUAAAAUGGCAAUAGGAUUAAACAGAAAUACCCCGAAUCAAAUAUGAAGGUUAGGAUCAAACAGAACAAGAUUUGGCAUACAAGCCAGGAGGAGAGUCAAUAGAUACAUCUUGACCACAAUAAGGAUGGGAGAAAUCAGGUGGCCCAGGAUUUGCCUUAAGGAAGAAAUGAGAAAUAUAAGCAACAACAGUUCCUCCGACUAGGAAAGUAUACCAAAACCUGCGCUAUUAUGUAACAAAUUAUAGAAUGUCAAAUAGCGAUUAUCAUGAUGUGGUACAGCAUACUUAGGUGUAGUAUGAAGUAUGUGAAGAUACACUAUUUCUUGUGGAAGAGGAAAUGCACCAUAGAGAGCUGAUGGGAACUAUACCAUAUAAAUGGUGGUUUUUAGUAACAACAUUUACUACAUUUUCAUCAAUGAAAUAAUAAAUUUUUGUUUUAUUUUACCUGUAA